UAUAAGCCAGAGAAUGGGGACCUGUGUGCGGAAGUCCCGUGACAAAGAAUGUAGAGAGGUGGGCGGCCCAAGGUGAUGCUUCACCCAUUUCUUCUCCCCAGGAGGGCCCAUGUGUGUUAGCAGGCUCCCCAGGCUGGGACGUCAGCUCUGACUCAUUCUCCCCGGGGAGAAGUUUAAUUAGCCUCCCAGCAGCCAGAAGCACCCCAGAUGAAAGGUGCUGAAUUCACUCUACUGGGCAACAAGGAUGUAAAGACUGGCCAUAACAACACAUGCGUGGUCCCUGUGCUCUGGAGGACUUCACACAGAGCGAAGCAUAGGACAUGAUUCGGGGAGAGCACUUGCACAGCAUUGUGCCCAGCCUCAGAAUCAGCAAGGGAGACACUGUAUGAAGGAGGGAGUGGAGGCAUGGACUUUCCCCCAGUAUCCAAGCUGAGGAGUGUGAGCGGCUGAGCCGAUCAGUGAGUGGAUGGACGGACCAGUCACUGGAUCAGUGGGUCACUGAGUGGAUAAGCUGCUUCAGUGAGUGGAGUCACCCAAAACAUGAGACUUUUCCAUGACUUUUCCAUGGCAACCUGAGCUCAAGAAGGGAGUCAGGAUACGGGGCAUCUGGGAGACGGGUCACAUCCAACAAGAGGCAGAAGCAGACCCUCAGUUUUCUUCCAGGGAAGAGCAAGCCUUCAGAGCCACUCCUGUGCCUACAGUCUCUCAGAACAGUAGCUCAAAAUAUGCCAGAGAAAUAUCUUCGGGAAUGGUUUAUUCUGGCCUCCUACCCUCCUGCUGUAAGUGAAGCGUCAUGACCACGGCGUCCUCUGCCAGGCGUGGUCUGGCACUGUCCCUCCCAGCUGUGAGUUGUUGGGACAUUCCCUAUCUUCCAGUGAGGUGACGAAGGAUCUGAAGGGGAAUAGAAGUGUGCAGAGCACAGAAGUCUGCUUGACGGGCCAUGCACUCCCUUGUGCCCUGGGGAUCUGCUUGAGCUGCCCAUCCUGGAGAAAACCUCUAGAGGGACAGAGGGACAGACACACAUUGCAAUCCAUCACUUUCCUGGGCUGGGUCCGAGGAAGCCAACCAAUGGCAAACACUCUGACCACCCCACCCUGGGGCAGAGGCUCAUUAGCUUCUGUUCUUGAACAAAGACUUUCUGGUAUCUAGCCUUCUUUCUGGAAUAUGCCACAGAGGACGGUUUAAGCUUGAGGCAAGGCAGUGCUGCAGAGACGUCUGUAGGGCAGGAUGCCUUAGGGCGUAGCAGGGCCCCGGGGAGGUGGCGUGCACCCUCUAGUGGCCACUUUCCACACAGGCGGAAGAGAACUCCUGUACCCACCUGAGUGAGGCGAGUCAGGCAAAGAACACUCUAUUGAACAGUAAAAAGAGCAGGGCACCCGGCACCACGGGAGUGUUAGAACAGCCAAGGCACAGGACCGCCGAAAGCAUCUCUAGCCAUGAAGCUCCCCAGCAGGGGAAGAUGAAGAAGCCUCACCAACAAGAGCGCUCCGGUGGCAGCCCCUGAUGGGCACCGUGGCCAGUCCUGGAGGUGCAAACUAGACCGUCCCGGGAGAGUGGGAGAGCCUGCCCAACUCACAGUCUGCGAAGCUCCGUGUGGCCUACAAAGACUCCUGGUUCACAACCAAGGCAAAAUACUGAAGUGACUACGACUCUAGAGGACACCCAGCGUUUGUCAGACGCCUGCACGUGGGCAUAAAUCACAGGCAGACAGGAGUCUUCAAGGACAGCUGGACCCGGCCACUGGCAGCCCCCAAUUAUAGAGACUCCAGAACGAAGCCGCUCAGUUACUUCCUUUGAAUUGCUUCCAUUCUCCAUGGUUUGUCUUAUCUUUCUUCUUUUUACUAUACUUCCAGCAGUAUUUUGACUUUUAUUCUUUUUAAAUUUUUUCUUUUAUAUUUAGUAUGUGUGUGUAUGCACACAUGUCAUGGCAGAGGUCACAGGGCAACUCAUGGGAGUUGUUUCUUUAAACCAUGUGUGUUCUAGGGAUCAGAUUCAGGCUGUGAAGUUUAAUGAGCACCUUUGCCUACAGAGCCAUCUCACCAGCUGAUUUUAUCUUAUUUUUAAGCUUUUAUUUUUUUAUUGUCCUUCUUAUAUUUAUCUAGUCUUGUUGAUAUACUUUAUCAGUGAGUAGUUCUUAUUUUAUUGUUAAAUUGUAUGUAUUUGUUUAAUGAAUAUGAAUAUUUUGCCCGUAUAUUGCAUCUGUGUGCAUGCGUGUCUGGUACCUACAGAGGUCAGAAGAGGGCAUCAGACCCCUGGGACUGGAGUUAGAGGGUUGUGAGCUGUAAAUGGGGGCUGCUUGUUCAUUUCCUGACUUCUCAGACCUGAAUAGUCACACAAAAACUACAUUAAUUACAACACUGUUUGGUCAAUAGCUUGGGUGUCUUUCUAGCUAGCUCUUACAUCUCAAAUUAACCCAUUCCUAUUAGUCUGUGUAUUGCCACUAGGCUGUGGCUUACCAAUGCCAGCAUAUUAUUCCUUUGGCAGCUACAUGGCAUUUCUCUGACUCUGCCUACUCUCUCUCUCUCUCUCUCUCUAUGUGUAUAUAUAUAUAUAUAUAUAUAUAUAUAUUUCUUCCAGCCUGGCUAUAUUCUGCCCUGCUAUAGGCCAAAGGAACUUCUUUAAUAAUCAAUGGUAAUAAAACAUCCUAAGAUACAGAGGGGAACCCCACGGCAGUGAGCCACCAUGUGGGAUCUAGGAAUCAAACCCUGGUCCUCAGCAAGAGCAGGCGGUGCUCUUUACUACCGAGCCAUCGCUCCAGCCCCCUUGGAAGGUCUUUUUUUUAAUCUCUUGCUUUUUUCCUCUCUCUCUUUAUAACAUUCUCCUCCACUCUUCCUCUUGCUUGCUUUUAUCAAACCCUGUCUCUACCCCUGUCCUUUGUUACAUUCAUUGGCUGUUCCUCGUUAGCUUGAUAGUAGUACACUCUCCUUUAUUUUGGCAGUCCGCGUGGUCACGGGUUGUAUAUUAUCAGACUGUAAUGGCUUUUAAAUGUAUUUCUUUAUCUUGGUUUGCUGUCGUUGUUAUAGCAGUUUAAUCAUCUCUGGGGGGUCCUGACCGAGGCUUCAUGAAUAGAGAGCUCUAUAAGGACAUCCCUGAACACAACCGGGAGGAACACCCAAACCAACAGAUGAACAAAUCGCAGCACAGAAAGCCAGGAGGUGGUGGCGCACGCCUUUAACCCCAGCACUCAGGAGGCAGAGGCAGGGGGGAUCUCUGAGUUUGAGGGCAGCCUGGUCUAUAGAAUGAGUUCAAGGACAAUCAGAGCUACACAGAGAAACCUUGCCUUGAAAAACCAAAGUAAACAAACAAAUAAAACCACAACACAGAAACACAAUAAACAUGAUGAAGUAGAGCGACAUGGCUUCUGCUCUAAAAGGCUGUAACUCCUCAAUUGCUGAACACAAAGAUACUAAAAUGAGUAACCUUCUUGGUAGAGACUUACAAUAUCUAAAAAGUGAUUAGUGAUUCAAAGAGGACAACACAACCAAGCAAACAAAUGAAGUAAGGAGAUCUAUUGUAUCUGUGUAUACAUGGUUACACUUAUACAUCAUACAUGCACACAAUAAUAAUAAAUAAAGUUUUAAAAACAAAAGCUAUAGGGGCUGGAGAGAUGGCUCAGUGGUUAAGAGCACAGGCUGCUCUUCCAGAGGUCCUGAGUUCAAUUCCCAGCAACCACAUGGUGGCUCACAACCAUCUGUAAUGGGAUCUGGCACCCUCCUCUGGUGCGCGGGCAUAUAUGGAGGCAGAAUGUUGUAUACAUAAUAAAUAAAAAUUAAAAAAAAAAUACAGCUCUGCUAAAAUAGCAGUAUUUAAAAAAAAAAAAGCUAUACAAUUAAAAUGGCAACUCACUUAUGAAAGUAAACACUUCCGAAUAGCAUCAGGAAGGGGCGAGGCCCAUGCAUUUCCACCCCUAGCUGAGGGGAUGUUCGUGUCAAUGGCUGCUCAGGGAGGGAGUCAGCUCUCCUAAGGAUGUGGUCCUAGAAGGUUAACCACACUCUGGUGAACAGCUCCACAUCUCUUAGUAUGUGGGUUAGCACAAACUGGCCUUGGUAGGGUUUUAUAUUUUUUAAGUUGGGAGCGUAUAAAGAAUGAGAUGUGGAUCCUGAAGGAAUUAAGGAGAGGGAUAGAGAGUGAAUAUCAUCAAAAUAUAUUGUAUGCAAAUAUUAAAUUAUCAAAGAAUUAGUGAAAGAAAAAAUAACACUAGACUUCUCAGCAGAAACCCUCAGCCAGGAAAGCAUGCAGUGGGAUAUUUCAAGACCUAAAAGUAAACAACCACCCACGAAGAUUGCUGUUUCUAGUAAAGUUAUGUUUUAAACUGACGGAGAAAUAAGAACAUUUCAAGACAGGCCCAAACAGAAAUGAGUCAUGAUCAUGAAGCCAACAUGGCAGAAGAUACGUCAGGGAACCUUAAACACAAAGAAGGAAUAAAGACAGCCUUGAUUAUGAAACACAAGAAAGGACAAAUUCUGUGAGAGGAACAGAUGAACACAGAGCUAUGGAAGAACCCAUCAUGCCCAACACAGCAACAGGCAAAGCCCUGAUAUGGAUAGGAGAGAUGGAAAAAUGAGCCUACGAUCCAACCAAUCAGAACACAGUCGACAAAAUUCAAGCAAUGUGCUAACCCCUGUCUGUAAUAAACCUAAAUGUAAAUGACUUUAACUCUCCAGUUAAGAGAUAUGCAAAUGAGAUUAGAGGUUUAAAAACAAUAACAAUUAUAACAACUUAUAAUAUAUAUAUAACAAUUAUAGCAGUAACAGAUAACAAUUCUGUUAUCUCUAAGAAAUACAUCUCCCUGGCAGAUGAAAGAGUUGCAAGGAUAGAAGUCAGUUUACCUAGUAAAUGGAAGGCAAAAAUGAUGGUGGAGCCGUUCUAUUGCCUGACAGAGUGCCAGCAAACCUAAUUAGUCUAAGAAGAUAAAGAAGGCCACUACCUAGCAACAAGAACUAUCAACACUAGGGCUCCAAGUUUCACAAAAGCAAACACCAGGUGGCAUAAAAGUGCCAAUAGAUCUUAAUAAUGGUGGGUGACCUUAAUUCUUCAUUCCCACCAAUAGGAUAGUCAUUCAGCCUAAAAGUCGAUGAAGAAAAUUCAGAAUGAAUCUGUGCCACACAUCAAAUGGGCUUAGUGGACAUUUAUAGAACAUCACAUCUAAUAGAGCAUUCCUUUCAACAGACCGUGGAACUGUCUCCAAGAUGGAGCACAUCCUAGCUGCAAAGCCACACUUAGUAAGUCUAAAAGCAUUGAAAUGAUUCCCAGAAUAAUCCAAUCUUUUCUUUAAUAUUUUAUUUAGAUGUAUUUUAUGUGCAUUGGUGUGAAGGUGUCAGAUCCCCUGGAACUGGAGUUAGAGACAGUUGUUAGAUGCCAUGGGGUACUGGGAAUUGAGCCUUGGUCCUCUGGAAGAACAAAGGGUGCUCUUAACCACUAAGCUAACUCUCCAGCCCAAAUAAUCCAAUCCUUUUUUUUUAAUAUAUUUAUUUAUUUAUUAUGUAUACAAUAUUCUGUCUGUUUUGCCUGAAGGCCAGAAGAGGGCACCAGACUUCAUUAAAGAUGGUUGUGAGCCACCAUGUGGUUGCUGGGAAUUGAACUCAGGACCUCUGGAAGAGCAGUCAAUGCUCUUAACUGCUGAGCCAUCUCUCCAGCCCCUCCAAUCUUAGUAAGUAAAAAAGAAAUUAAAAAACCAGGCAGUGGUGGCACAUGCUAUUAAUCCCAUCACUCAGGAGGCAGAGGCAGGCAGAUCUCUGUGAGUUCAAGGCCAGCCUGGUCUACAGAGCAAGUUCCAGGACAAACUCCAAACCUACAGAGAAACCCUGUCUCAAAAACAAACAAACAAACAAAAAACCCUAAAAUUUCCAAAAUGAAAAAAGUCAGUAGCAAAAGAAGUCAGAGAAACUAUACACUUGGAGAUUUAAUAUGCUCCUUCUUCUCCAGCCCCCUUCUUGUGUGUGUGUUUUUUUUUUU
Alexandromys fortis (reed vole) is the source of this 5955-nucleotide long non-coding RNA. RefSeq lists it as uncharacterized. The record is from RefSeq and is a predicted model, not a curated record. NCBI's taxonomy places the organism in Eukaryota, Metazoa, Chordata, Mammalia, Rodentia, Cricetidae. The transcript is spliced from 6 exons.